This 505-nucleotide ribosomal RNA is filed under the name uncultured bacterium. RNAcentral's name for it is "partial 16S ribosomal RNA". It matches the Rfam family "Bacterial small subunit ribosomal RNA", at positions 28 to 507 of the family's 1533-position model. The record is from RNAcentral.
GACGAACGCUGGCGGCGUGCCUAAUACAUGCAAGUAGAACGCACAGUUUAUACCGUAGCUUGCUACACCAUAGACUGUGAGUUGCGAACGGGUGAGUAACGCGUAGGUAACCUGCCUGGUAGCGGGGGAUAACUAUUGGAAACGAUAGCUAAUACCGCAUAAUAUUAAUUAUUGCAUGAUAAUUGAUUGAAAGAUGCAACUGCAUCACUACCAGAUGGACCUGCGUUGUAUUAGCUAGUAGGUGAGGUAACGGCUCACCUAGGCGACGAUACAUAGCCGACCUGAGAGGGUGAUCGGCCACACUGGGACUGAGACACGGCCCAGACUCCUACGGGAGGCAGCAGUAGGGAAUCUUCGGCAAUGGACGAAAGUCUGACCGAGCAACGCCGCGUGAGUGAAGAAGGGUUUCGGAUCGUAAGGCUCUGUUGUAAGAGAAGAACGGGUGUGAGAGUGGAAAGUUCACACUGUGACGGUAUCUUACCAGAAAGGGACGGCUAACUACGUG